UGGGUGAUUUGUAGACGAAUAGU
RNAcentral lists this non-coding RNA (23 nucleotides) under Cricetulus griseus (Chinese hamster). The record is from RNAcentral. Lineage: Eukaryota; Metazoa; Chordata; Mammalia; Rodentia; Cricetidae.